This is a long non-coding RNA of Gavia stellata (red-throated loon), 1884 nucleotides long. RefSeq lists it as uncharacterized. The transcript is spliced from 4 exons. The record is from RefSeq and is a predicted model, not a curated record. Lineage: Eukaryota; Metazoa; Chordata; Aves; Gaviiformes; Gaviidae.
CGGGUCUCCGCGCUCGCAGCGCCUGGCCGGCCCGGUCCUUCUCCGUGGUCUGAGCGUGCUGCUUUGGUGUGCCCAUGAUGUUCAGUGACUGCGAGACAAACACGAUCUUUCGUACUUUGAAGUAAUCACAAGUGCUGUCUGACAGGAGAGUGGUGAGAAGAUGGAGCCAGACUCUUCUUGGAGCUCCACAGUGACAGGACAAGAUGCAAUAAUAGACACAAGUUUGAACAUGGAAAAAUCUGAUUAGAUGAAAUAGAGACAGAAGUGGCAGAGCAGUGAUACAAGUCUGCAGUAGGCAUCCCGCGUGGUUAGAUGAAGAUUCCACAAGUACAGUGAUUGCUUGCCUUCUGAUGUACUGGUACAGCAUCCCCAGGUACAAGGUGAGCCAAGCUGCUGGGGUUUUGGCUUUAUCUUUUUGUUACGGUAAUACAGGUGUUAGGGGUGCAGGGACUUCUUAUUGCAAGAAGAUCCUAACUGCUUCAUCAUCCUAGACAGCACUAAAAUUGUUUGUGAGCACCGCACGCUGGUAGUCGCAAGAGGACGAGAAGUCUUAAUUUCAUAACUUGUGUUUUACCUUUAGCUGAAAUGUUGAAUACUUGGUUUGUGUGAUAAAAGAUCAGCUUGUGUUUGGACAGAAGUUUGCUGGUUUUUUAAAUACUGUUUUAUUACUAUUCACUGCUUUUAAACAAUGUACCACAACUGAAAGCUUCUUGUGUCUGACAUACAUUUAGCAUAUGCCUCUGGUUUAGAAAUAUGUCAGUUCAAUAAGAAUAAGAAUUAUUGAACUGUCAAGUACCUAUGCAGAUACAUUUCCUUUAAGUGCAAGUGGCUGCGUUCAAAUACCAACUCAUUAAUUUUUAAGGUAAUCUCACAGUCUCUUACAAAUGUUCUUUGAUUAUGUGGUUGAACAUUAUGCCUUCUGGUGGCCAGUUACGAGGUGACACACACAAAAUAGUUCUCUGCUGCAGUGUGCAGCUCUAUCUUUGCUCAAAUACUAGAUGCCUGUAUAUUUGAACUUAAAAACUCGGUGAUCUAGCUCAAGCUGAUGUGGUUAAUCUAACAGCAUUGGUUUUAGUUUUAGCUUUGCUUUCUGUGUAACAGGAAGCACAAAGAACACAAUUUGAGUUUGUGUCUUUCUAGCGUUACCUUCACAGUAGAACCAUGAAGUAAGACACCAUUAAUUAAUUCCGUACCUGCAAUCAAUUUGAUUUGUGCACAUAAAACUGUGUUUCUGUGUUAGAGACUGCCUUAAGACUGCUCUGCUUAGCACUGAUUGUUCUUUUCAAGAAGUAAAUAUACAUGGUAAAGUAGUAUCCCAGCUUUUAAUGACUUCUGUUUUCUGUAUGUAGAAGGUAAUGAUGGUUUUGCCACAUCUUGCUCUUAUUUUUUCUGCAAUAUAAUUUCUUUAAUAACUUCUCUAGUCUUUCUUUCUACAGGUCUACAGUUCACAUGCAAGCCUUUUUAUUGGUUUUAAUAAUUGUGGAAUGGUGUUUUAUUCCCUUUCUAAUCUUUUCCUGUGUAAGGAAAAAAAAAUAAUCAUAUGGAUAAAUUAACAGCUCGUUUUCUUUAGUUUCCCCCACACUCAACACUCAUUGGCAUUCUCUCACUGAGUUCAUAUUUCUAUUGUGAUAUAUGAAUGCUGGCCUAAACAUGCAAACCUGGAGGUUGGUACAAAUUCUUGUCUGUUUCUCAGCUAUAGUAGAAGUUAAGAAUUGGGGUAAAGCAAGAAUGUCAGUUGUGAGGAAAAGAAGAUAGAUGCGGCUUUUCCUUGGAAAAUUGAGACCGUGAAGACUACAGAAGCACUCUAAUAAAAACUGUAUAGUACCUCGUCACAUAUUUCGAAGUGAGACUUUCUGUUACUUGUUUUUGUCCUGCUUAUUUUAA